RNAcentral lists this ribosomal RNA (980 nucleotides) under human gut metagenome. RNAcentral's name for it is "bacterial LSU rRNA". It matches the Rfam family "Bacterial large subunit ribosomal RNA", at positions 1945 to 2925 of the family's 2925-position model. The record is from RNAcentral.
ACGGUCCUAAGGUAGCGAAAUUCCUUGUCGGGUAAGUUCCGACCCGCACGAAAGGUGUAACGAUUUGGGCACUGUCUCAACGAGGGACCCGGUGAAAUUGAAGUACCUGUGAAGAUGCAGGUUACCCGCGACUGGACAGAAAGACCCCAUGGAGCUUUACUGUAACCUGACAUUGUGUUCUGAUACAUCACGUACAGGAUAGGUGGGAGACUUGGAAGCUGGGACGCUAGUCACAGUGGAGUCAACGUUGGGAUACCACCCUUGAUGUAUCGGAAUUCUAACCGUAGGAGUAACGAAACUCGGGACAGUGUCAGGCGGGCAGUUUGACUGGGGCGGUCGCCUCCCAAAGAGUAACGGAGGCGCCCAAAGGUUCCCUCAGCGCGGCCGGAAAUCGCGCGAAGAGUGUAAAGGCAGAAGGGAGCUUGACUGAGAGCCAAACACGGCAAUCAGGUACGAAAGUAGGGCUUAGUGAUCCGGUGGCAUCCAAGUGGAAGGGCCAUCGCUCAACGGAUAAAAGCUACCCUGGGGAUAACAGGCUAAUCUCUCCCAAGAGUCCAUAUCGACGGGGAGGUUUGGCACCUCGAUGUCGGCUCAUCACAUCCUGGGGCUGAAGUCGGUCCCAAGGGUUGGGCUGUUCGCCCAUUAAAGUGGUACGUGAGCUGGGUUCAGAACGUCGUGAGACAGUUCGGUCCCUAUCCAUCGCGGGCGCAAGAGAUUUGAAGGGGGCUGCUCCUAGUACGAGAGGACCGGAGUGGACGAACCAAUGGUGUACCAAUUGUCUCGCCAGAGGCAUAGUUGGGUAGCUACGUUCGGAAAGGAUAAACGCUGAAAGCAUCUAAGCGUGAAACCAGCCUUAAGAUGAGAUCUCUCAUAGAGCAAUCUAGUAAGACACCUUGGAGAAGACGAGGUUGAUAGGUCGGGAGUGUAAGUACAGUAAUGUAUUCAGCGGACCGAUACUAAUAUGUCGAGGGCUUGACUUA